AUUGAACGCUGGCGGCAGGCCUAACACAUGCAAGUCGAGCGGAGCGGCGGACGGGUGAGUAAUGCCUAGGAAUCUGCCUGGUAGUGGGGGAUAACGUCCGGAAACGGGCGCUAAUACCGCAUACUAUCAGAUUAGCCUAGGUCGGAAUAGCUAGUUGGUGGGGUAAAGGCCUACCAAGGCGACGAUCCGUAACGGGUCUGAGAGGAUGAUCAGUCACACUGGAAUGUAGACACGGUCCAGACGCCUACGGGAGGCAGCAGUGGGGAAUAGUGGACAAUGGGCGAAAGCCUGAUCCAGCCAUGCCGCGGGUGGGAAGAAGGUCUUCGGAGUGUAAAGCACUGUAAGUUGGGAGGCGUUACCAACAGAAUAAGCACCGGCUAACUUCGUGCCAGCAGCCGCGGUAAUAC
This 407-nucleotide ribosomal RNA is filed under the name uncultured bacterium. RNAcentral describes it as "partial 16S ribosomal RNA". It matches the Rfam family "Bacterial small subunit ribosomal RNA", at positions 29 to 526 of the family's 1533-position model. The record is from RNAcentral.